Molecule: long non-coding RNA, 1446 nt
Filed under: Triticum aestivum (bread wheat)
Lineage: Eukaryota; Viridiplantae; Streptophyta; Magnoliopsida; Poales; Poaceae
Description: long non-coding RNA (TAES_LNC001634)
Source: RNAcentral
CCCUGAUCGCAUCUUUGUGGGUGGCCUCCCGUACUACUUCACCGAGGCUCAAGUGCGGGAGUUGCUUGAAUCCUUUGGACCGUUGCGAGGAUUUGAUCUUGUGAAGGAUAGGGAGACAGGCAACUCGAAAGGAUAUGCCUUCUGUGUAUACCAGGAUCUUAAUGUCACCGACAUUGCCUGUGCUGCCCUGAAUGGUAUCAAGAUGGGAGACAAGACCCUCACUGUUAGGCGAGCAAAUCAAGGCACUUCUCAACCAAGGCCAGAGCAAGAAACCAUCCUGUUGCACGCACAACAACAAGUGCAGAUGCAGGUACACUCAGCUGUUGAAAAUAUAUAUUUUACAAAAUGACAGUGAGUUUAUAUUUCCCUUCCAAAUUUUGACCGUUGCUUUCUGACAGAAACUCGUGCUACAAGUUGGAGGCGCUCUACCGACAAAGGUGGUAUGCCUGACCCAGGUGGUUUCAGCAGAUGAACUGAGAGAUGAUGAGGAAUACGAGGAUAUUUUGGAAGAUAUGAGGGAAGAAGGGCGCAAAUAUGGUAAACAAAAUGAAAUCCAUGGACUUGCCUUCAUCUUGUUUUAAACCCUUGCAUUCUGUAAUCAUUGUGUUCAGUUACUGAACUUGUUUUGUUUUGUGUGUUGUCUUUUUGUGUGUCUUUUUUGUAGUCCACAUAAAUGCCAUUGCAGAGUCUUUUGUAGUCCAACCCCAUGCAAUAUUGGCAAUCGGGCUUAACCUACAGAAGACACACUAUUCUUUUUCAAUUGGAUAUGAUUGAUCAUAUAUCAUGUAUUUCUUGUUUAUGUAUGUACUCACUAACACUUGGACAGGUAACUUGGUUAAAGCUGUCAUCCCACGACCUGACCCCAGCGGCGCUGCUGUUCCUGGAGUUGGAAAGGUGAGUUCUGAUUUUGAUCAUACUCAUUACUGAUGUGUUGAGCAGGAACAAAAUUAUUUUGAUCCAUGGACUUUGUUGUCCGUGUUGCAGGUGUUUCUGGAAUAUGCAGAUAUCGACGGCUCGACCAAGGCGAAGGUCGGGAUGCAUGGCAGGAAGUUUGGCGGGAACCAGGUGGUGGCCGUGUUCUACCCUGAAAACAAGUUUGCUGAUGGAGAUUAUGAUGAUUAGAUGAAGUCCUCUGCUCAGUUGUCACCCGUGCCAUGCGUUUGCUUAGUUUUCAAAUUGAAUCCUUUUUUAAUCUGUUUGUGGAACCGUCUGCUCGAUAUAUGGUAUAAUUUUAUUUGUCAUGUACAUCUACCGCUGCUGCCCUUGCCUACAAGUACUGUAUCCAAACUUGAUCAGUGCUGGUAUCUUCCCCUUACUGGAUGUGGGAAAGGAUAUAUAAUGACUGAUAUUAUGCUAUUAAAGGAUUGUAGGCAUGUUUCAAAUUAUUACUGGACCUGUGGCAUGGUUAUGUGGUUAUAUUUGGUCACUUUGUUCAUCAGUUCCAAU